UUUUUUUUACUUUUUUUCUUUCUUUUUUUUUGUUGUAAAUCUUAUUCUCGAGAUUAUUGUUAUUAAAUGUCAAACCCCCCGGUGCCGUAUGGGGCGUCUGGUCUGUCAAUUGCCGUUGGCUCGUGGAACGUUAAACGUUUUUUAGUAAUGCUCCAGUAAGUACAGCAAAACAACGCAUAAAGACAACAAAUUGCUAUUGUUUUUUUUUUUUGCUUUUCUGUCUUUUAGUAUUGUCUUAGUAGUUACAAUUACCGGUGACAGUAUGCUUCUGUACUGUGCUUUAUUUGGUUACCCUUUCCCCGUGUGGGUAUUAUCGAAAAAGAAGCAACCCUGAGCUUUGAAUAUUUAAAUUUGGAUUUAAAAUAUACAAUUUAUAGAUACAGAUUUAUAGUUUAUAAGUCACACAAAAUUGUACGACUAAUAU
This 424-nucleotide long non-coding RNA is filed under the name Drosophila guanche. Lineage: Eukaryota; Metazoa; Arthropoda; Insecta; Diptera; Drosophilidae. The record is from RNAcentral.